AUUGAACGCUGGCGGCAGGCCUAACACAUGCAAGUCGAACGAGUGGCGGACGUGUGAGUAAUGUCUGUGAACCUGCCUGAUGGAGGGGGAUAACUACUGGAAACGGUAGCUAAUACCGCAUACCAUCGGAUGUGCCCAGAUGUGAUUUGCUAUUAGGUGGGGUAAAGGCUCACCUAGGCGACGAUCCCUAGCUGGUCUGAGAGGAUGACCAGCAACCCGGGAACUGAGAAACGGUCCAGACGCCUAGGGGAGGCAGAAGUGGGGAAUAUUGGACAAUGGGCGCAAGCCGGAUGAAGAAAGGCGGCGUGUAUGAAGAAGGCCUUCGGGUUGUAAAGUCCUUUCAGCGGGGAGGCGUUACCCGAAGAAGAAGCACCGGCUAACUCCGUGCCAGCCGCCGCGGUAAUAC
RNAcentral lists this ribosomal RNA (406 nucleotides) under uncultured bacterium. RNAcentral describes it as "partial 16S ribosomal RNA". It matches the Rfam family "Bacterial small subunit ribosomal RNA", at positions 30 to 526 of the family's 1533-position model. The record is from RNAcentral.